GUAAAAUCUCAUUGUCACAGUAGUUAAAAGCGCGCCCUAGGCAGGAGGCGCAAAUAGGCGAGGGGUGCAGCACCUCAUCAUAGGCGAGGCGAAGGGUGUAGAGAGUCGCAGGGAGGCGCUACGAGGCGCACUGAUGCGCCAGGCAACAUGAGUCGUGCCUGGAACUUUUCGAACCUGUUAAAUAAAGAAAUAGCUAGAGCAAAACAAGCCCUAACCCUAUUCGAUUCGAACCAACAAGAGAGCCAACACGAAACCCUUCUUCGACUCUUCGAAGCCCCAUGACCCUUUGCAAGUUCGUCUUCGACCCUUAGAACCAGCAGGAGAUUCGUGAGUUCGUCUCCCACACUUCGAACCAGCAGGAGCCCUUCGCAAGUUCGUCAGGAGCUUCGUGAGUUCGUCAUCGACCCUUCGAACCAACGAGAGCUUCGUGAGUCUCCCCCACUACAAACCAGCACGAGCCCUUCGCGAGUUCGUCAGGAGCUUCGUGAGUUUGUCUACAACAUUUCGAACCAACAAGAGCUCUUCACAAGCUCGUCUUCGAGCCUUCGAACCCGCAGGAGCUCUUGGCCAACUUGUCUUGAGCCUUCGAACCAGCAGGAGCCCUUCGCCAACUUGUCUUCAAGCGUUCGUGAAUUCAUCUGCUUCAUCUGCUUUGAAGUUCAAGCUAGUACAAUUUUUCUACAUAAGCAACAACCCUCAAUAUUUGUGAUUGCAGAUGAAGUUUGUCUUAGGUACAAGUCUCUCUUUCACGGGCGCGCGCACACAGACAUGCUUAACUGAGAUAAAACAAUUUUCUAUAACAGUUUUGGAGGAAUCAUUGCUUAGUUGAGGGGGGAAUAUGUUCCAACAAGCUAUGGAAACAACACGCGCACACAGACAUGCUUGACUGAGAUAAAACAAUUUUCUGACAGUUUUGGAGGGAUCAUUGCCUAUUUGAGGGGGGAACAUGUUCCAACAAGCUAUGCUGCUAUGGAAACAACAAACACAUCUGUCGCCCCUGAUUGUUACUAAUUUCACCGAAUGAUUCCUGGUGGCUUGCUAUUGGCUGUCGCAUGGGUGCACACACAGACAAGCUGGACUGAGAUAAAACAAUUUUCUAUGACAGUUUUGGAGGAACCAUUGCCUGCUUGAGAGGGGAAGAUGCCCAGCCUGGUUGCUACUUCCAUUGCAAGCUGCGAAAACUACAGACUAGUCUGUCGCCCCCAACUAUUACUGAUCCCACCAAAUGAUUCCUAGUGGCUUGCUUCUAUCUGCACAUGUACUAUUUAUUAUAUUCCCCUGCCAUCACAACCUCAAAACCCUCCUUUUCCUCUCUUUCCCUUAUAAUUUGGUUCUCCUCCCAAUUGUAUUCACAACACUCUUUAGUACCCGUUUGGAACUCGAAAAAUAAUAAAGGGAAAGAAAAUAUGAAAGAAUC
Molecule: long non-coding RNA, 1417 nt
Organism: Malania oleifera
Lineage: Eukaryota; Viridiplantae; Streptophyta; Magnoliopsida; Santalales; Ximeniaceae
Exons: 2
Source: RefSeq, a predicted model, not a curated record